CCUACGGGUGGCAGCAGUAGGGAAUUUUCGUCAAUGGGCGCAAGCCUGAACGAGCAAUGCCGCGUGAACGAGGAAGGUCUUCGGAUCGUAAAGUCCUGUUGAAGGGGAAAAAGAGCGGAGAGAGGAAAUGGUCUCCGAUUUAUAUUACUCUUCGAGGAAGUCACGGCUAACUACGUGCCAGCAGCCGCGGUAAUACGUAGGUGGCGAGCGUUAUCCGGAUUGAUUGGGCGUAACGGGUGCGUAGGCGGCCUGCUAAGUCUGGAGUGAACGGUACCGGCUCAACCGGUACAGGCUCUGGAAACUGGCGGGCUAGAGUGCGGGAGAGGGCGGUGGAACGCCAUGUGUAGCGGUAAAAUGCGUAGAUAUAGGGAAGAACCCCGGUGGCGAAGGCGGCCGCCUGGCCUGUUACUGACGCUGAGGCACGAAAGCGUGGGGAGCGAAUAGGAUUAGAUACCCUAGUAGUC
This 464-nucleotide ribosomal RNA is filed under the name uncultured bacterium. RNAcentral's name for it is "partial 16S ribosomal RNA". It matches the Rfam family "Bacterial small subunit ribosomal RNA", at positions 338 to 795 of the family's 1533-position model. The record is from RNAcentral.